UUUCCGCUGAUAACUCGUGAACGGUGCGUCGGAGAAAAUUUUCGGGACACCCUGUAUAGAGCAACUGUCGAGAGUUUUACUCUCGGAUGGACACCCGCGUUUAACAACACUCGCGGACGAAUCGCGACCGUUUCGCGUUUCCGCGUCGCUCUACCUAAUUUUAAAGCCUCGACGGACCGCUGUAUUUACCUUGAAACCGAGAAAUACCGCGCGAGCAUCGUUCAAUCGUGGACACGUAUAUUUUUCUAUCGAUUCCGUUUUAUACGUCUUGACUGAUUUUAGAGUAUAAAUCACGUUUAUCGGUGCUCGAUUACCGCGAAGAAGUGUACUACCUACCCUGUCCGCGCGACGCCAAAUGUCCCGUUGCAUUAUUCUUUCGCGCGUUCUUUCGAACGGUUCACACGAAUUUUCCGUGGAAACAGCCGUCCAAAACCGACGCGUCGAACGUGUGACGUCAGAGAAUUACGACGCGCGCUGUAAACUCGUAAUUGGACACUGCGCGUCGAUUUUACGCGCCGAUUUGGUUACGUCCGUUCGAAGAAUGAAACCACGGAAGAACGUACGUCCCUGAUAUUUACACUACGUCGUACCAGUUACACGGAAGGGAAACGGCAAGCGUCGAGGAGGCGAAGGAAGGAUCACGGUCCUCGUUGACCAGGAGAAAAAUAAAUUACGCGACGAUAAAGGCUCGUUCGCAGGCUGGUCGUAGAGCGGCUGCUGCGUCGGAGGGCACGCGUGUCGCCGAGCACAAGACCCCCCUCCUUCUCCUCCCCACCACCACCGGUCUCUGCGUACAGCCUCAGGACGCCUCAUAAACGUUUCUCGCAGUAUCGCAUAAAAGCUCCGGUAAAACGGCUCUCCACGUCCGAUCGGUCUAACGGCCGGCUUAAGUGAUUGCUUCUCUUCAUUAGAGGCCGGGCUCGUUCCGUUCGAACUGAUCCUUUUCCAGGCGGGGAAGGGGAGGGCAAAACUUGAGGGACAGGUGCGGUAAUGGUCCGUAUCCGAGGCGAGCCUCCCGUGUCCCGGCUCCUCGAAGGGGCUGCGGAGAGGCAGUUGCAGUCGAUUUAACCCCUGCCCUCUUCCCACCACCCUCGAGACCGGCCCUCGAGACUAUUACGCGAAUUGAUUCGGCAUCGGAUCUGCCCGGGGGCGGAAACACCGUUUAGCUCCUCGUUUCUUCGACUCCGAACUGCCCUGCCUCUCUAUUCCUCCCAGUUUGCUCCUCGUUUAUGCGAUGCUGUCCGCUUCGCUGUCCCGCUUUGGGACAAUCCUUCCGCCCCCCGCAAAUU
Megalopta genalis is the source of this 1289-nucleotide non-coding RNA. NCBI's taxonomy places the organism in Eukaryota, Metazoa, Arthropoda, Insecta, Hymenoptera, Halictidae. The record is from RefSeq and is a predicted model, not a curated record.